UUUUCUAAAGUCAGAUGAGUUCAUUCUCCAAGACUCCACUCCUGUAACACGACAACACGUAAGUGUUAUAAUCAUAUAAUAAACGUUGGCAUGAAGUGACAUUGUAUUAUAUCAUACUUGAUUAUUAUUUAGUACAACAAAUUUUCAAAUUACAGAAAUAUUAAUAAAUCAGAUUGAUUUUGAAAUGGAAAUAUCAAGAAAAUAAUUCCACUGGAUUGUCUCAAUGAAUCAAAUGUAAAAGGAUUUGAUUUGAUGCCUUAUUUAAUUAAUAAUGGAUGAUGAUGAGUCAAGUUUGGUAGCAAGUUGGAGUUGAGUAAGUUAAAACAUCAUUGCCGACUUGUGUUGCGACAGGAUUGGUCGAAUCUGGAUCAAU
This 373-nucleotide long non-coding RNA is filed under the name Centruroides sculpturatus (bark scorpion). Its description in RNAcentral is "uncharacterized LOC111613136, transcript variant X1". The record is from RNAcentral. Lineage: Eukaryota; Metazoa; Arthropoda; Arachnida; Scorpiones; Buthidae.